RNAcentral lists this ribosomal RNA (378 nucleotides) under uncultured organism. Its description in RNAcentral is "bacterial SSU rRNA". It matches the Rfam family "Bacterial small subunit ribosomal RNA", at positions 526 to 896 of the family's 1533-position model. The record is from RNAcentral.
CAGAGACCUCAAGCGUUAUCCGGAAUCAUUGGGCGUAAAGCGUACCGAUAGGUGGCUUUGCAAGUCAGAAGUGAAAUCUUAAGGCUCAACCUUGAGACUGUCUUUUGAAACUGCAGAGCUAGAGGGGCAAAGAGGAAGCUGGAGCGAACGGUGUAGUAGUGAAAUGCGUUGAUAUCGUUCGGAACACCAAUAGCGUAGGCAGGCUUCUGGGUGCCACCUGACACUGCUAGGACGAAAGCGUGGGGAGCGAAUGGGAUUAGAUACCCCAGUAGUCCACGCUGUAAACGAUGUACAUUAGGUGCUAGGGAGUAUCGACCCUCUUUAGUACCAUAGCUAACGCGUUAAAUGUACCGCCUGGGGAGUACGGCCGCAAGGCUA